Hypholoma sublateritium FD-334 SS-4 is the source of this 92-nucleotide non-coding RNA. The record is from the annotation of a GenBank genome assembly. Lineage: Eukaryota; Fungi; Basidiomycota; Agaricomycetes; Agaricales; Strophariaceae.
GGCCUUAUGGUCUAGUAGCAUGAUUCUUCCUUUGGGGUAACCUUUGGCUUACUUAAUGGAAGAGGUCCUGGGUUCAAUUCCCAGUGAGGCCC